This 1260-nucleotide long non-coding RNA is filed under the name Marmota monax (woodchuck). Lineage: Eukaryota; Metazoa; Chordata; Mammalia; Rodentia; Sciuridae. The record is from RNAcentral.
AAGCUACUCAUAUAGUCUGUUUUUACUGGAACUAGGUUUUCUAUUUUGUGUCUUAAAAGGAAUUCGUUCAGAUCACCUAGGUUGACUAACUUAUUGCUAUACAGUUUUCAUAGAAUUUCCUUCUUUUUGUCGUAUUCCUAUUUCUUUUUGUAAUAUUAGUAGUGAGGGCCUUUCUUUCAUUCCUGAUUGUAGUAAUUUGGGUUUUUGCUCACUUGCUCUUUGCUUAAACUGAUGAAAGUUUUACCAAUUUAUUGAUCUUUUCAAAGAAACAACGUGUGGUUUUGUCAAUUUUCUCUAUUUAGAGAAUUUUCUCUAUUUUAGAUAGAUAUAGCUGUAGAUAGAUUGGAGUGAAUAAAUAUACUAUUUUUAUGAAAGACAGAGAAUGGCACCAUGAAAGGAUAUAGGUAGCCAUUGAAACAACUUCUCAUCCAUGUGUUGAUUUAAGUCCUUACCCAAAGGACUUAAAAUCACCACACUGCAGUGACACAGCCACAUCAAUAUUUAUAGUACCUCAAUUCAUAAUAGCCAAGCUAUGGAACCAACUUAGGUGCCCUACAACAGAUAAAUGGAUAAAUAAUAUGUGGUACAUAUACACAAUGGGAUAUUACUCAGCCAUAAAGAAGAAUUAAAUUAUGGCUUUUACCCGUAAAUGGAUAGAACUGGAGACUGUCAUGCUAAGUGAAAAAAGCCGAUUCAAAAACAAAACCAAAUACCAAAUGUUCUCUCUGAUAUGGAUGCUAACCCACAAAACGAAGGAUAGGGAGAGGAAGAUCAGAAGUUCACUAGAUUAAACAAAGGGUUAUGAAGGGAGAGGAGGAUGAGAAUAGGAAAGACAGUAGAAUGAAUCAAACUUAACUUUCCUAUGUUCAUAUAUGAAUAUGCCACCAGUGAAACUCCACAUCAUGUACAACCAUAAGAAUGAAAUUCUAAUUAACAUAAGUUAUACUCCAUGUAUGUAUAAUAUAUCAAAAUAUAUACUCUAUUGUCAUGUACAUCUAAAAAGAAUAAAUUUUUUAAAAAACAAAACUUUUAAAAAGACUCAAUGAUCCUACUGACUUGAGCAGGUUGCUUGGCUUCAGUGAGCACCAGUUUCCUCAUCUGAAAAAGAGAUAUUAUAAUUCAUGUCUUACAAUUUUAUAAUGAAAAUUAAGAAAUCUGUACAAUAAUCUGCAUAGUUCCUGGAGAUAAAUUGUUUCUCAAUAUAUUUUAUAAAGUAUAUCAGCAAGUGUUAACUGUUAUAGGGACAAAAAAACUAAAAAA